Molecule: ribosomal RNA, 2330 nt
Filed under: human metagenome
Description: bacterial LSU rRNA
Rfam family: Bacterial large subunit ribosomal RNA
Source: RNAcentral
AAAGCAAUAAACGGAUGCCUUGGGUAAAAAAGAGGAAGAAGGACGUAGCUGGCUGCGAUAAGUCUUGAUGAGAUGCCAACAAUCGCUUGGAGUCAAGAAUUUCCGAAUGGGGUAACCUAUUCUCUAUAGGAGAAUACAAAGUUGACAAUACUCGGUGAAGUGAAAUAUCUCAGUAACCGAAGGAAAAGAAAUCGUAAUGAGAUUCCCUUAGUAGUGACGAGCGAACAGGGAAGAGCCCAAACUCCAUUAGUGUAAGCUUCUAGGCGUUGCUAAUGAGAGGGUUGUAGGGUUGUUUAUGAAGAGCUAGAAAUCUUCAAAUGGAGAGAUGUUAUAUUAGGAGAAAUAUUUGGAUGAUAUACCAUAGAGGGUUAAAGUCCCGUAUCUAAAAAUAUGACACCACAUUAAACAAUACCUGAGUAAUGUCAGACACGAGAAAUCUGGCAUGAAUCUGCCCAGACCACUGGGUAAGGCUAAAUACUUUUUUACACCGAUAGCGCAGAGUACCGUGAGGGAACGGUGAAAAGAACCCCAGGUAGGGGAGUGAAAUAGAACCUGAAAUUUAUUGCUUACAAUUGAGUGGGAGCCUACGGGUGACCACGUACCUAUUGACGAAUGGGUCAGCGAGUUAUUAGUAGUAGCAAGGUUAAGGCAGUUAUAGCUGGAGCCGUAGCGAAAGCGAGUCUGAAUAGGGCGAUAGUUAUUAUUAAUAGACCCGAAGCGGUAUGAGCUAGACAUGGGCAGGUUGAAGGCAUAGGAAACUAUGCUGGAGGACCGAACGGGUUGGUGCUGCAAAACCUUCCGAUGACCUGUGUUUAGGAGUGAAAAGCUCAUCGAAUACCGUGAUAGCUGGUUCUCUCCGAAAUGCAUUUAGGUGCAGCCUGUAUUUUAAGGUCUUGAAGAGGUAGAGCUCUGGAAAGGCUAGGGGGAUCGAGAGAUCUUACCAAACCUUACUAAACUUCGAAUGCUUCAAGGAAUAAUACAGAGUGGGACUGCGGGAGCAAGUUUCGUAGUCAAAAGGAUAACAGUCCAGACUUCUGAUUAAGGUCCCUAAAGUAAUGCUAAGUGGAAAAAGAGGUGUCUUUACUUAUACAUCCAGGAGGUUUGCCUAGAAGCAGCAAUCCUUUAAAGAAAGCGUAACAGCUCACUGGACUAGUGAAGAUGCGCUGAAGAUGUAACGGGGCUAAGCAUUAUACCGAAAUCGAAGACCAGUGUAGUAAUACACUGUGUGGUAGGAGAGUGUUCUUACAGGAUGAAGCUACAUCGUGAGGUGUGGUCGACUAGUAAGAAGUAAAAAUGCUGACAUGAGUAACGCUUAUUGAUGAAAAUUCAAUAUAUCGAAACCCUAAGGAUUCCUACGCAACGUUCAUCGUCGUAGGGUUAGUCGGGACCUAAGGCUUAUCCAGAAAUGGAGAGUCGAUGGAUAACUGGUUAAUAUUCCAGUACUUAUAUAUAGAGUGAUGGGGUGACGCAUUGAGAUUUGUGAGAGCUUAUUAAGGAUUUAAGUCGAAAGAACAAGGUUUUUAUAGCGUUAGCUAUAAAGGUAGUUGCAGGAAAAUCCACAGCUAUUGAUACUGAGUUUGAUCGGGAUUCAAUUCCUCGGAAUUGGAAAUUCUCAUCGUUUUGGUGCCGAGAAAAACCUCUAAACUUAAUCUAUAUGUAACCCGUACCCAGAUCAGACACUUGUGGGGUGGUAGAGAAUACUAAGAUAAUCGAGAUAACUAAUGGGUAAGGAACUUGGCAAAUUAGCGGACGUACUUUCGAAAUAAGUCCUGUCCCGAGCAAUCGGGAUCGCAGCGAAAGAGAUGGGGGGAACUGUUUAUCAAAAACACAGCUCGCUGCUAACUCGUAAGAGGAUGUAUAGCGGGUGAUGCCUGUCCAAUGCCAGAAUGUUAUGCUCUCUUGUGCAAGCUCGAGGGUUAAGCACUGGUGAAUGACGGCCGUAACUAUGACGGUCCUAAGGUAGCGAAAUUCCUUGUCAGGUAAGUUCUGACGCGCAUGAAUGGCAUAAUCAUCCCCAUGCUGUCUUACCCUUAGACUCGGUGAAAUUACAUUCCCGGUAAAAAUGCCGGGUAGUCACAGUUAGACGGAAAGACCCUGUGAAGCUUUACUGUAGAUUGAUAUUGGAUUGUAGCAUGUUUUGCUCAGUAUAGGUGGGAGGCUUUGAUGUUUCGACUUCGGUUGGGGCGGAGCCAAUAGUGAGAUACCACCCAAAAUAUGUAGCAAUUCUAAUCCCUAGGUUGGGAGACAGUUUCAGUUGGACAGUUUACCUGGGGCGGGUGCCUCCUAAAAAGUAGCGGAGGCGUGCAAAGGUUUGCUUACUACGGAUGGAA